AUUGAACGCUGGCGGCAUGCUUUACACAUGCAAGUCGAACGGUAACAGGCCUUCGGGUGCUGACGAGUGGCGAACGGGUCCGUAAUGCAUCGGAACGUGCCCAGAGGUGGGGGAUAACGCAGCGAAAGCUGUGCUAAUACCGCAUGUGAUCUGAGGAUGAAAGCGGGGGACCAAGCAGCAAUGUUUGGCCUCGCGCCUCUGGAGCGGCCGAUGUCAGAUUAGGUAGUUGGUGGGGUAAAGGCCUACCAAGCCGACGAUCUGUAGCUGGUCUGAGAGGACGACCAGCCACACUGGGACUGAGACACGGCCCAGACUCCUACGGGAGGCAGCAGUGGGGAAUUUUGGACAAUGGGCGCAAGCCUGAUCCAGCAAUGCCGCGUGCGGGAAGAAGGCCUUCGGGUUGUAAACCGCUUUUGUACGGAACGAAAAGGCUCUGGCUAAUACCUGGGGCUGAUGACGGUACCGUAAGAAUAAGCACCGGCUAACUACGUG
Molecule: ribosomal RNA, 492 nt
Filed under: uncultured bacterium
Lineage: Bacteria
Description: partial 16S ribosomal RNA
Rfam family: Bacterial small subunit ribosomal RNA
Source: RNAcentral